Molecule: long non-coding RNA, 533 nt
Organism: Dreissena polymorpha
Lineage: Eukaryota; Metazoa; Mollusca; Bivalvia; Myida; Dreissenidae
Exons: 2
Source: RefSeq, a predicted model, not a curated record
CUAAAUGUGAAACAAAAAUCCUUGUAUACAUGUUGAAUAAUACAUGCUUUAUUAUGCCCCCCUUCGAAGAAGAGGGGGUAUAUUGCUUUGCUCAUGUCGGUCUGUCGGUCCGUCCACCAGGUAGUUGUCAGACGAUAACUCAAGAACGCUUGGGCCUAGGAUCAUGAAACUUCAUAGGUACAUUGACCAUGACUCGCAGAUGACCCCUAUUGAUUUUGAGGUCACUAGGUCAAAGGUCAAGGUCACAGUGGCCAGAAAUAGUAAAAUGGUUUUUGAAUGAUAACUCAAGAACGCAUACGCCUAGGAUCAUGAAACUUCAUGGGUAGAUUGAUCAUGACUUGCAGAUGACCCCUAUUGAUUUUGAGGUCAAAGGUUAAGGUCACGGUGACCCGAAAUAGUAAAAUGGUUUCCGGAUGAUAACUCAAGAACGCAUACGCCUAGGAUCAUGAAACUUCAUGGGUAGAUUGAUCAUGACUCGCAGAUGACCCCUAUUGAUUUUGAGGUCACUAGGUCAAAGGUCAAGGUCACAGUGA